GACGAACGCUGGCGGCGUGCCUAAUACAUGCAAGUAGAACGCACAGUUUAUACCGUAGCUUGCUACACCAUAAACUGUGAGUUGCGAACGGGUGAGUAACGCGUAGGUAACCUGCCUGGUAGCGGGGGAUAACUAUUGGAAACGAUAGCUAAUACCGCAUAAUAUUAAUUAUUGCAUGAUAAUUGAUUGAAAGAUGCAAUUGCAUCACUACCAGAUGGACCUGCGUUGUAUUAGCUAGUAGGUGAGGUAACGGCUCACCUAGGCGACGAUACAUAGCCGACCUGAGAGGGUGAUCGGCCACACUGGGACUGAGACACGGCCCAGACUCCUACGGGAGGCAGCAGUAGGGAAUCUUCGGCAAUGGACGAAAGUCUGACCGGGCAACGCCGCGUGAGUGAAGAAGGUUUUCGGAUCGGAAAGCUCUGUUGUAAGAGAAGAACGGGUGUGAGAGUGGAAAGUUCACACUGUGACGGUAUCUUACCAGAAAGGGACGGCUAACUACGUG
RNAcentral lists this ribosomal RNA (505 nucleotides) under uncultured bacterium. RNAcentral describes it as "partial 16S ribosomal RNA". It matches the Rfam family "Bacterial small subunit ribosomal RNA", at positions 28 to 507 of the family's 1533-position model. The record is from RNAcentral.